Hyalella azteca is the source of this 2309-nucleotide long non-coding RNA. RefSeq lists it as uncharacterized. Lineage: Eukaryota; Metazoa; Arthropoda; Malacostraca; Amphipoda; Hyalellidae. The transcript is spliced from 3 exons. The record is from RefSeq and is a predicted model, not a curated record.
GUGGCUGGGCGUGGGCAUGCAGCUGUACGGUCCCAAGCCCAAGCUGCUGCCCCUGCACACCUCCCGCUGCUCCGUAGGCGACACCGCCGGCAACGUCACGCUGCUCCGUGCCGCGUCACUCGGCAGCACUGCAACUAGCUCUUCUUCUGACACGCUUUCCGACGAAAAUCCAAUAUUCGAGCCGCCCUUGGGAGGCUUAUACGAGAUAUCCUACACAUUAAUGCCCUUCAUCUGAACUUCUGUGUGCAUCGGCGUGGGCGCUCUGGUGUCGUGGGCGACGGGCUGUGAGAAAUUAGAAGAUGUUCAGCCAGAGCUGAUUCUACCGUGCUUAAGGAAAUACCUAAAGAUAAAGUUAAAAUGUUCACCUCUGGAACUGAAAAGUUUCUCAGAUGGUCAAAGUUCAUCAACAUCCGCGGGUGAUAAUCCGGAGGGAAAAAGUUCAGGAAAAUGUGAAUUCGACCCGAAUCAACAGCUGUGAACCGUGUCGAAUAUUGAAAUUAGGGACUUUUCCAAUUUCAAUAAAAAUGUUGUAGUAUGGUAAGUGCAAAUACGAUAAUAUUUUUUUUACCUCUUGGACAAUCGAAUUUUCGAAACGAAUUUCCAUAGCAAGUUUUCUACGCCUAACUUCGUCAAAUCAAAACAGUUUUUUGAUCCAACUAAAAACGAUGCUAUUUGUGCUCACAUUUUGAUUUAAGAAAUUAUUUAUUCUGCAAGCUCGAACGCUUUUUGUAUUUGCUCACUCAUAUGUUUCGAGUCUUGCAACUCGUAAAUAGGACUUUCUUAGGAAUUGACUGACAUUUGUUCAUUUGGUCAUUUUUAUACUGUUCAGGGUGAGAAGUAAAGUGAAAAGAAAGAUUGAAACUUUACAUCGUCUUCUUCUUAAUUUUGUGGUAAAAUUCAUGUUUGUUUUCAAAUCUGAGACGAACUGGCGAGUGACCUUGGCACGACGAUUGAGAUAAUAAAAAUGAUUAAAGUAACGCUUGAUUAUUCCGGUUGCAAAAUUAAUAUCAUAAUUAAUCCAGCUCUUGAGAGUUCUAAACAUUCAUUAAAAAAUACCAUUUUGAUGGUUUACGUGAUCGCAGUGAUAGAAAUUGAAGUUGGUAACGCAGUGGAUCGCGUUAGGCAUAGGUGAUAAAAUAAAUUGAACGCACAUUAGAAAUCAGAAUCCAAUUUAAUCCGGUAAAUGAAAGCAGUUAAUCGACAGAGAAACGAAUGAUCAGCGCCUUAGCAAGACUAAAUCAGCAUAUUUACUAUCGAGCCUAAGGAAGCAUAUCACAAUUGAAUUGUUUAGACGACUUAAUUUCAUUAUUCGAAAAUGCUGAUUAAAAUUAUUGGAUUAUAUUGUUACGUCGCAACACUCAGCGGAAUAUUUUAGAUUUCCAAACUCUGAUUUGUUAACGUUUGCUCUCGAAUUGAUGAAGUUAGUAUAACUCAAUAUGUCUACAUUCAAACGAAAAAAGAUUUAAUAAGGCUAACUACAAUAUAAAUUGCACUGGUGGUAUGCUUGUGUUUUAAUCUGUAUCAAUUCGAAUAAUUUUCUGCAUGGCAGAACCACAAGUUUUGAAAACUGCGAAAAAGAUCAAAUUCAUGUUUAUUUGAAUAUUGCGUAGUGUGAUAACGAUAAAUAUUUAUCUAUUAAAAGAUGGAAUUAAGUCAUGAAAAAUGCAUUACCUCCUUAAUCUAUCGACUUAGGAAACGACAUUUUGAGACAUCCACGCAUACGUUACGAUUGGUUUAAAUUAUUGGAUGUUGUGCCGAAAACGGAGAGCGAACGUGCUCACAUAUCUAAUUCUAUUGCUGUGGAGGUGAUGAGGUUGGAUAUAUUAUCCAUUGCUAUUGGCAUAUUAUUUUAUUUCUAAACUUGUCACGAACAUAAUUACAAUAUUUAAAGUAUAACCUAUAAUUCCAAAUUCACGUAUGAUUUAAAUCUGCAAUAAUGCUUUGUAUAGGUUUUAAACCCUGUUCCAGUUAAAUUCAUUCCUAUCCAAAGCGUUUUCUGUAUAUUGCCAAUCUGUGAAUUCAUAUUUUUUCAUAAACUGGAUUUACGGUGGAUCGAGAAAAUAUUUACUAACGGUUCAAAUUGUGGGACACCCUUUUUCGGUAACUUUUGACCUUUUUUGUAGAAUUUGAGGACAUCUUGAACAGUUUUUCAGAGGAAAUUUCAGGUAACUUAAAAUGAAACAGCCAGUGAAUCAGAUAAUUAUUUUAAUAAUAAUACAAUAGAUUCAGGAGGAAAUAAUUUUGGAAAAGAUGAGAUCGCCUUGAAAUAAAGCCGAUUCAUUUUUAGCGCAUUUUCUCAUUUAUGGAAA